CCCACCCCAACUCCAACAUAUGUAUGUUUUUUCUCUGUACUUCCACCAACAUAAAUCUACACUUCCGUUUGGGUAAUGAUCGGGAAUAACCAUAAAACCGAAGAAAGAAAGAACCCCUGCCCAUGAAUCUGCUAGCUUACAUCUUUAGCUAUAUUACACACUGUUACAAAUGAAGACAUCGGAUGUUCGUCAUUCAUCCACUCCGUCAAGUUGACAGAAGAAAGCAGCAGAAGCCAUGAAAGGAAAACAAUUACGAUUCAGUUAUGACAUCUACAUCUAUGCCUGGGGGAGACCGUGGGGGAACAACUUCGUCAUGAAUUUCAAAGAGGGGACCACUUUCCGCUAAAAUCUCCUGGCAGCUUGAGAAUGUUGAUUUCUACCAAUCUUUCUUGAAGGAAGUGACUCCGAGGCAGCAGCCUUUGAUGAACUGUUACUUUCAAAGGAUGCUAAGAAUUUGUCCUUUGAUAGAGAUUCUUGAGAAGAUAAAACAAUAGAACUGAAAACACCACUCGCCCUCAAACCUUGGACAAUAACC
This 535-nucleotide long non-coding RNA is filed under the name Solanum tuberosum (potato). RNAcentral describes it as "long non-coding RNA (STUB_LNC002620)". Lineage: Eukaryota; Viridiplantae; Streptophyta; Magnoliopsida; Solanales; Solanaceae. The record is from RNAcentral.